UCCGUAGGUGAACCUGCGGAGGGAUCAUUACUGAGUUUACGCUCUAUAACCCUUUGUGAACAUACCUAUCACUGUUGCUUCGGCGGGUAGGGCCUCCGCGACCCUCCCGGCCUCCCGCCUCCGGGCGGGUCGGCGCCCGCCGGAGGAUAACCAAACUCUGAUUUAACGACGUUUCUUCUGAGUGGUACAAGCAAAUAAUCAAAACUUUUAACAACGGAUCUCUGGGUUCUGGCAUCGAUGAAGAACGCAGCGAAAUGCGAUAAGUAAUGUGAAUUGCAGAAUUCAGUGAAUCAUCGAAUCUUUGAACGCACAUUGCGCCCGCCAGCAUUCUGGCGGGCAUGCCUGUUCGAGCGUCAUUUCAACCCUCAAGCUCUGCUUGGUGUUGGGGCCCUACAGCUGAUGUAGGCCCUCAAAGGUAGUGGCGGACCCUCCCGGAGCCUCCUUUGCGUAGUAACUUUACGUCUCGCACUGGGAUCCGGAGGGACUCUUGCCGUAAAACCCCCCAAUUUUCCAAAGGUUGACCUCGGAUCAGGUAGGAAUACCCGCUGAACUUAAGCAUAUCAAUAAGCGGAGGA
This 575-nucleotide ribosomal RNA is filed under the name Colletotrichum gloeosporioides. RNAcentral's name for it is "eukaryotic LSU rRNA". The stretch from base 203 to 356 matches the Rfam family "5.8S ribosomal RNA". The record is from RNAcentral. Lineage: Eukaryota; Fungi; Ascomycota; Sordariomycetes; Glomerellales; Glomerellaceae.